GUGUGUGCCCAGCAAUGCUGGAGGCACAAGAGCAGCCAGAGCAGCCAUCAGGACAACACUCAGCGUUUUCCUUCUGCUGUUUGGGGGUAUGGAAGGCUGCAGAGAGCCCUUUACAAACCUGGAAAACAUGGGAACAUAGGAUGGCAUGUGGCAAGGUCACAGGACCACAGGAUCACGAGGUUGGAAGAGACCUUCAGGAUCAUUGAGUCCAGACCAAGCCUCUCAGUCACCUCUGCCUAUCAACACCUCAAUGCAGGAAGACCCUACAUACUUCACUUCAAGCAGAUGUCUACAUUCACUGGUGUCUAUUGAAGAAUUUUUCUUCUGUGAAUACAACCGGGCAUUAUUUAAAAAAAAAUUAAUUGCACUGAAGGCACCCUGUUUUGCAGUCUGUGUAGCUGUGUGAGAGCCUGGAAGUUUUUCCCUGCAGGCAGAGCACCAG
Molecule: long non-coding RNA, 442 nt
Filed under: Ficedula albicollis (Collared flycatcher)
Lineage: Eukaryota; Metazoa; Chordata; Aves; Passeriformes; Muscicapidae
Description: lncRNA (ENSFALG00000023935.1)
Source: RNAcentral